AAAGCGCUUUUGCAAUUUUUGCCAAACACCAUUUUUAAAAGAUAGAAGCGCUUUCACCCAUUUAGAAGCGCUUUUCGCUGCUCCAAAAGCACUCCCAAACGAGCCCUUAAUAUAUUUUAAUAUUUUAAGAGUAUAGCCGGUCGGCUAUACGCUUUAAAUAUUCAAAACGAACACGUUGCUUGCACUCGCAGAGGACGGAGGUUGCAGUCGAAGUUUCGCUUCUCUAUAUCAACUCAAGCUCCGAUUUGUUUUCUUUGGUUUCGGCUGCUUCGUCCUCCGGGUUCGACACCGAAAAAAGAUCCAACCCGCCCAGGAGGACCCCCCAGCCGCCUAGCGCCCACCUAGCCGCCUAGCCCCCGCCUAACCGCCUAGCCGCCCGCCUAGGCCCAUUUUCGGUUGCCUCUCAGGCUCAAAAGAUGGCUGACAUCGUUACAGAACAAUGGAUUCAAAUUCAGCGGCUUGAGCAGGCUCUUCAUAUUACACAAAACCAAAGGCUCCUCUUGGUUAGCAGAAUUCAAAGGAAUAUGGUUCCAGUCCAGUGACCAUCUAGUGGAUGCAACUUUGCCCGCUACUGAAGUCAAAUCAUCAUAACUGAAUAUAAGGAAUGUUAUAGGAGAAACAAAGACUUCCUUAGCUUCUGGAAAUUAGCAUAUUGGGGAGAAGCAAUUAACGGAUGUCUUAGUUAAUUGGUGAAACUUCUUAUAAGAAGAUGGAGUCCAAAAUAGUAAAGGAGCCACGCUCAGUUCAACCACGAGGCACCCAUCACCUAUUUCCA
Molecule: non-coding RNA, 775 nt
Organism: Prunus avium (sweet cherry)
Lineage: Eukaryota; Viridiplantae; Streptophyta; Magnoliopsida; Rosales; Rosaceae
Source: RefSeq, a predicted model, not a curated record